AAAUAAAAUAUAACAUGCAAGUGUUAUCCCAUUAAAAAUAUAGAAAGCAAUUUAUCUUUUCUCAAAACUGCCCCACCCUGCCCCAAGCCAAGAAUCUCUAAGUUUUGUUCCCACCACAGUAAUCAACAAGUCACACUACUAAUUUUAAAAAAUAAUACUUUAGAAACCACGCAUUAGUACAUCAGAAACCAUGUAAUUUGACUUUUAACUUUUGGUAACUCAAUGCAAGAGGUAACUUCAAUAUUUCCUAUUCAAAACUGCUUAAAAAUAGGCUUAGAAAUAAG
Molecule: unclassified non-coding RNA, 284 nt
Filed under: Hevea brasiliensis (rubber tree)
Lineage: Eukaryota; Viridiplantae; Streptophyta; Magnoliopsida; Malpighiales; Euphorbiaceae
Source: RNAcentral